RNAcentral lists this ribosomal RNA (253 nucleotides) under uncultured bacterium. RNAcentral describes it as "partial 16S ribosomal RNA". It matches the Rfam family "Bacterial small subunit ribosomal RNA", at positions 524 to 776 of the family's 1533-position model. The record is from RNAcentral.
UACGUAGGGUGCAAGCGUUAAUCGGAAUUACUGGGCGUAAAGCGUGCGCAGGCGGUUAUGUAAGACAGAUGUGAAAUGCCCGGGCUUAACCUGGGAACUGCAUUUGUGACUGCAUGGCUAGAGUUUGGCAGAGGGGGGUAGAAUUCCACGUGUAGCAGUGAAAUGCGUAGAUAUGUGGAGGAACACCGGUGGCGAAGGCGGCGACCUGGGACAAUACUGACGCUGAGGUGCGAAAGCGUGGGGAGCAAACAGG